RNAcentral lists this ribosomal RNA (281 nucleotides) under uncultured Staphylococcus sp. Its description in RNAcentral is "partial 16S ribosomal RNA". It matches the Rfam family "Bacterial small subunit ribosomal RNA", at positions 505 to 785 of the family's 1533-position model. The record is from RNAcentral. Lineage: Bacteria; Bacillati; Bacillota; Bacilli; Caryophanales; Staphylococcaceae.
GUGCCAGCAGCCGCGGUAAUACGUAGGUGGCAAGCGUUAUCCGGAAUUAUUGGGCGUAAAGCGCGCGCAGGCGGUUUUUUAAGUCUGAUGUGAAAGCCCACGGCUCAACCGUGGAGGGUCAUUGGAAACUGGAAAACUUGAGUGCAGAAGAGGAAAGUGGAAUUCCAUGUGUAGCGGUGAAAUGCGCAGAGAUAUGGAGGAACACCAGUGGCGAAGGCGACUUUCUGGUCUGUAACUGACGCUGAUGUGCGAAAGCGUGGGGAUCAAACAGGAUUAGAUAC